GGGUGGAGUGAUGAAGUCUUUUGGCUGCCGUGCCGUUGUGUCAUCAGAUGGAGAGACUGAGUCGUCCCACCAAGGUGGCGAUGCCCGGCUGCGCAGAAGUCUCCUACUCGCCAUCAGAUUAUGAUGAUUUGAUGUAUCUGCUGGGCAGCCAAACACGGCGGUUACAUAUCGAAAGCCAGGAUUAGUUGCCUUUUCAUUUGGUCUCAUCCAGCCGGGCCUGGACGAUGAGGCUGGAGCGUGGACGGCGGGCUUCUCUGGCGCUCACGCUCAACUUUGUGGCGUUUGCUUUUGCCUUAUCAGCGGUGACCACCAGCUACUGGUGCGAGGGGACGAGGAAAGUGGCCAAACCCUUCUGCACGGGGCCGCCGUUGAAGGUCAAGCAGUGGUUCUGCAUCCGCUUCAACAGCUCCAACGUCAACGACACCAGGCUGGUCCAGUACAUUUUUGAGACCGGCGAGGAGAAGUUCCUUCUCAGGAAGUUCCACACGGGUAUCUUCUUCUCCUGUGAGCAAGCGGCUGACAUGAACGGGUUCGACUGCCGGGACUUCUCCGAAAUAGCCCCGGAGCACGAGAGAGGCGUCCUCUGGUUGUGUAUCGUGGCAGAGACGCUGUACCUCUCCCUUCUCUUCAUGGGUGGUGCCCUGAUGACGCUGGAGCAAUGUCCCUGCUUCAGCAUCAUGAACAAGCUGAAGCUCAGUGCCUUCGCCGCCUUGUGCACAGCUUUGUCAGGUCUCUGUGGGAUGGUGGCUCACAUGAUGUUCACCACCAUCUUUCAACUGGCUGUGGCCAUGGGACCGGAGGACUGGAGACCCAAGACCUGGGACUACAGCUGGUCCUACGCGCUUGCAUGGAGCUCAUUCGGCACCUGCAUGGCCUCCGCUGUGACAGCACUGAACCGCUACACCAAGACGAUCAUCGAGUUCAAAUACAAGCGGCGGAACAUCGAGAAGAGCCUGCUGGUCAAGCAGAAGAUGGUGGACCUGGAUCUGCCCGAGCAGAUGUGGGACCUGUAUCUGACUGCAGAGGCACCACUGGAGCCGCCUGCCAAUGGACACAAGCCGACGUCAGGGAUUACGUACGUGGUGGAGGUGGACGACCCGCCUGACCCACAGGGAGAGGCGUACUGCUGAAACCCGACGCCCUCCGGUGGCCACUCUCACAGUUUCAAACCUGAGCCUAUAAUAGUCUGGUCACAUGACCACCUGGACACACAUCCUCGGACAUCACUUGUUUCAGAAUAAGGGCUUUGUGACCAGAAGACGAUCGUAAGGGACUCACCUCUAUCAAUGCUGUUGUCUUUUAUAAUAAAUGUGUCUUACUGACCACUGCCAAACUCACACGCAUCAGACGGUGCAUCACUUCUUUACCUGCCACUCUAGAGAUUCCAUCACCGUCUUCAGAGGUUUUACUGCGGGCUGGAAACGUGCUGGUCUCAGUCCGAUCAGGAUGUGUUGGGCUCUGUACUGCUGCGCCCUCUGCUGUCAAGGAUCUCAGUGUUUGAAACAUGCAGGUAUAAUUGCAUUUCUUUUAUUAAAAUUAAGCAAAACCAUCAACGCCGCUACAUAGUCAAAUGUAUAUGACGUAUUCAUAAUGUCCUCUAAAACAAGGUCUAAACUCAGGCCUGUCAUCUCCGGGUCGGUACUCCAGGAGUCAGACUUGAUCUGAUCCGUCUUUGAUCACAAGUUUGUGUUUACAUUUCAGUCUCGAUUAUAACCCGUCAAACCUGGGAUUUAGACCAUUUUUUUUCUGUGAAAUUCAAGUGUUCAGAAGGAGGUAGGUUUCUGUGGUGACAUUCGACUCAGUCGUUCAGCAGCAGAUCCUGGUACUUGUUCUGUGGGUGUUCAUCAAUGAACUUCUGUAUGUACCAACAGGACACGUUAGCCUUCAGGUCCUCUUCCGCCAGGAAGUCCAUGGCAGCCUGGAACACCGAGAGGGAGCCGCAAUGAGACCGCGGUCCUCGCGUGAAAGUCUACCCGCGCCGAAGAGCUCGAACUCGGCUGUCCUGCUCACCUGCCCCGCUGCCAGGAGAGACCGUGAAGCGGCGAUUCAGUCGGUCGUGUUCCACCCUCAAGCUACUACAGCUCCGUGAAGUGAAUGAAGCAGGAGAAAGCGUUGUCCUUAAGGUGCACCCAGACAGCCGGAAAGGUAUUUUCAACGCCAUUUCGAUGGGAAGCACAGCAAGCAUGGGUCAUCUGCUUCUCUGUACUGACCACAAGAGGGUGCCAAACACGCCAGGAACGCUCGUGCGCACAGUGAUAAGUUUUUAAUUAUUAACUCAUUUCAAAUAUCUUAAAAGACCAAACUCUUUCUCCAUUUCUGGUCACGCUUUCAUGCCCUCUUUAAAAUCCAUCGGUUGUGCUCCUCCUCUGUCUCAAAUGUCACGAUGCCACUGAGACGUUGGCGUGAUUCACUCCGGCGGCCAUCAAGGCGAAGAAGAGGUUGGGGAAGAAGGAGCGAGCGUAGACGGCCACUUUAGGAAGCGUCGGUGCGAUCACCACUUCCUUUCUCUUGUUGCCUAAAGUCUUGGCGAUCUCAGCGGCUGCUUCGCCAGGAGACACGCCGUGAGGCCUCAUGAUGAAGAACCCUGAGAACACAGACAGGAGUGGAGCACAGUCAAACUCUUCCUCAUUUGAAAUGGCCACUGAGCUUUCCUUACAGGACCAGAAGGAUUUGCGGGUGGAGGCCUCGGUCGCGUCUGACGCGCUGAUGAACGUGUGGUUGAUGGUGCUGACAGAGAUGCCAAACUCCUCCACCUCAGCCCUCAGACAGUCGAAGAAAGCCUGGACGGCGUGUUUGGAUGCGGCGUCUGGAACAGAAGUCGGAAGAAUUUCUCAGGCAUAUAGAGCCCUCACAUUUGGGACACCUGCACUCACAUGCGGAGCGGAACGGCACGGCCAGUUUUCCUUGAAUGCUGUUGACCAGGAUCAGGUGACCGGUUCUCCUGGACAUCAUGGACGGCAGCACUCCUGAAACACAGAGCCAAACAGGACGUUACGAAGCUUUAGCUUGACCGGGCUUCUCGGGCUUCACCUUUGACCAGAGUGGCCGGUCCAAAGUAGUUGUUGUCCAUAAGCAGCUUGUCCAUCUCCAGCGACAGAUUCUGGGCAGGAGCUUUGACCUUCAGACUGUUGUUGAGGAUGAUCACGUCCAGACAGCCGUAACAGUCUAGCACAUCUACGAUGGCCUCGGGCAAACUCAGCAUAUCGCUGAAAUCCAGCAGCACCAGCUUUGGCGGGAAGGUCUGAGGGCCAUGGAGGGAUGAAGGAAGCGAUCCAUGACGAGACGCCAACUCCCCCCGACAGACUCACCACGCUGGGAUCCGAAGAACCUGUCAAGUCCUCAGCCAGUUCCUCCAGUUUGUCCCAGCUCUUGCCACAGAGAAUCAACCUGGCGCCUCCUUUGUGAAAGACACUUGCACAUACUGGAGCGGAGGAGAAGAAAAACCAUCGCAUCACGGAGCAGCACUCAUCUUCAACACUCCUCUCACCUUUCCCCAGCUUGGACGUGGCGUCAGACAGAACCACCACCUUGUUGCGAACACAUGUUUUGGACAAGAAGCCAGUGACAAGGCCGUAGAUGUAGAAGAAGCCGGCCGUCAACACAACCACACAGGGCACCAGCAGGACGGUGGUGGUCCAGGUCGGGUCCAUCUCCUGCAGUUUUUCCUGAACACAUGUUGCUUGUUAACUUCCUGCUCAAUGACUUUCUUUGGUGUGUCCAGGUGAAUCAGGCGGUGAUGAGGCUGAUGCCAGAGGCAAAGAUGAGUGUCUUAGUUGUCUGAGGGAUGACUGGGGUUAGGCGAGUUUUGAACUGGUUCAGUAUGUUUACACAGCCAAACAUACUUUUGGAAAUGGAUUUAUGGAUGAUGAGGAACCGAUGGUUUCAUACCCACAGGCUCUCUGGCACCGUUACAUUGGCCUCCAUCUCUACACUCAUGUUAACAUCGAAUAUAACACGUCUGCAACACAAACACAAGACACAAGUCAGAUGAAUCUGACGGAGCCGAAUCCUCACAGAGGCGUGUCCUUCGUUUGCAGACACAAAGAGGUAAAGCCCGUUGGUCACAUAGGAGUCAGUGAAAUGAAAUGGUUUUAGUCAUGUACGUUUGCAUUUGAAAUCUUAUUCAUUCCACUGUCAAACUGUAUACGUUUUUAUUGAAUAACUUGUCUCACUUAAAUUAAUAUUCAAUCAUUUUACCUUCCAGUCUCCAAUAAUUCAUGAGGUAUAUUUUCCUACACAAUGGCUUCACAUUUCAUUGUUCCUGUUCGCGUCGUCCACACUUCAUUCUCGCACAUUAUUCCAUGCCAACGCACCCACUGGUAUCAACUGUUGAUCCUCAGGUCUUCUAAAUAUAAACCGAUCCAGUUUCUCCUGCAGGAGCUCAAUGUCACACGUUGGUCCCAGAACCUUCACACAGAACCGUCCGCCUCGGCCCCAGAUUAUAGAUGACGCAGUGGAAGUGAACCCCAAACCUCCCCUGAAUACCAUGGCUCCAGACUCACCCAGCUCGCGUCUCCUCUGCUGCUCGCCCCAGGACCCUCACACACACAGCCGGCCCAGGCCGCCGCAGCAAUUCCUCAGGAUUUGUGCUCUUUUUAUAGCUGCGCAGCUGAGUCACAAGUGUGUUGUGGUCGAGUGAGGAGCGACAGGUGGAGAAUGUUCUCACCAGCUGCUGGAGACCCCAGGCUCGUCACAUGAAGGACGAGUGUCCCUCGGAUCGACAGUCAUGCUGGACAUUUCAAUCUCAAGAGAUCGUUUGAAAAUUGUGUCCACUAACGUCUCUGCUCUGCUUCCAAACGAUUUCAGUGAUAACGGUGUUUAGAAGCCAAAGAAAAACGCUUGAAUCGAUUAACAUCGUCCUUGCGUCGGUGAAAUGACACCAGAGUCUUUUAUUUUGAAGGCUGGAGCGUCGUCGUCAAUGGGUCAGUUGGCGGUUCUGCUCGUUCUGUCGCUGCAUCAGCACCAUCCACCGGAUCUUUCCACUGCGCUGUCACCUGAGAAUAUUCGAAAAGCAGUUGAGCGACA
Synchiropus splendidus (mandarinfish) is the source of this 5025-nucleotide RNA transcript. It is a transcript of the gene named germ cell-specific gene 1-like protein, with no coding region annotated. The transcript is spliced from 6 exons. The record is from RefSeq and is a predicted model, not a curated record. NCBI's taxonomy places the organism in Eukaryota, Metazoa, Chordata, Actinopteri, Syngnathiformes, Callionymidae.